Molecule: ribosomal RNA, 433 nt
Filed under: uncultured bacterium
Lineage: Bacteria
Description: partial 16S ribosomal RNA
Rfam family: Bacterial small subunit ribosomal RNA
Source: RNAcentral
AACGAACGCUGGCGGCAUGCCUAACACAUGCAAGUCGAACGAGACCUUCGGGUCUAGUGGCGCACGGGUGCGUAACGCGUGGGAACCUGCCCUUAGGUUCGGAAUAACUCCCCGAAAGGGGUGCUAAUACCGGAUAAUGUCUUCGGACCAAAGAUUUAUCGCCUUUGGAUGGGCCCGCGUUGGAUUAGCUAGUUGGUAGGGUAAAAGCCUACCAAGUCGACGAUCCAUAGCUGGUCUGAGAGGAAGAUCAGCCACACUGGGACUGAGACACGGCCCAGACUCCUACGGGAGGCAGCAGUGGGGAAUAUUAGACAGUGGGAGAAAGCCUGAUCCAGCAAUGCCGCGUGAGUGAUGAAGGCCUUAGGGUUGUAAAGCUCUUUUACCCGGGAUGAUAAUGACAGUACCGGGAGAAUAAGCUCCGGCUAACUCCGUG